Molecule: ribosomal RNA, 716 nt
Filed under: uncultured bacterium
Lineage: Bacteria
Description: bacterial SSU rRNA
Rfam family: Bacterial small subunit ribosomal RNA
Source: RNAcentral
GUCUGAUGGAUCGACACCGCGUGAAGGAUGAAGGUCUAACGACUGUAAACUUCUUUUCUGAAGGAGCAUAAUGAGAGUACUUCAGGAAUAAGGGACGGCUAAAUACGUGCCAGCAGCCGCGGUAAUACGUGUGUCCCAAGCGUUACCCGGAAUUAUUGGGUGUAAAGGGUCUGUAGGUGGGAAAGCAAGUCAGGUAUGAAAGACCGAAGCUCAACUUCGUGUUUGUGCAUGAAACUACUUUUCUAGAAUCAGGGAGAGGUAAGCGGAAUUCUUAGUGUAGGAGUGCAAUCCGUAGAUACUAAGAAGAACACCAAAAGCGAAGGCAGCUUACUGGAACUGUAUUGACACUGAGGGACGAAAGCAUGGGGAGCGAAGAGGAUUAGAUACCCUCGUAGUCCAUGCCCUAAACGAUGAUAACUAAGUGUUGCGCAUUGGCGCAGUGCUGGAGCUAACGCGUUAAGUUAUCCACCUGAGGAGUACGAUCGCAAGAUUAAAACUCAAAGGAAUAGACGGGGACCUACACAAGCAGUGGAUCACGUGGUUUAAUUCGACAAUAAACGGGGAAUCUCACCCAGACUUGACAUCCUGAGAGUACACUGGAAACAGAGUAGUGCCCGCAAGGGAGCUCAGUGACAGGUGCUGCAUGGUUGUCGUCAGCUCGUGCCUUGAGGUGUUCGGUUAAGUCCGUUAACGAGCGUACCCAUGNUUCUUAGUUA